GACCACGUGGCCUAAUGGAUAAGGCGUCUGACUUCGAAUCAGAAGAUUGAGGGUUCAAGUCCCUUGUGGUCA
This 72-nucleotide transfer RNA is filed under the name Pleuronectes platessa (European plaice). It matches the Rfam family "tRNA". From Rfam's summary of the family: Transfer RNA (tRNA) molecules are approximately 80 nucleotides in length. Their secondary structure includes four short double-helical elements and three loops (D, anti-codon, and T loops). Lineage: Eukaryota; Metazoa; Chordata; Actinopteri; Pleuronectiformes; Pleuronectidae. The record is from Rfam by way of RNAcentral.